AAACAAGCUGUUAAGAGCGCAUGGUGAAUGCCUUGGUGCCAACAGGCGAUGAAGGACGUGAUAAGCUGCGAUAAGCCUCGGAUAGCGGCAAAUACGCUUUGACCCGGGGAUUUCCGAAUGGGGUAACCUGAUACUGUUAAUACGGUAUCGUCCCGCUCUGAAUACAUAGGAGCGGGUUCGCGACACCCGGUGAAGUGAAACAUCUCAGUAACCGGAGGAAAAGAAAGAGAAUCGAUUCCGUAAGUAGUGGCGAGCGAAAGCGGAAGAGCCCAAACCGGAGGCUUUGCCUCCGGGGUUGUAGGGCCCUGAUGUGGGACUGAAACGAUUAGGUUAAAUGUGUGGAAAAGCAUUCCAUAGAGGGUGAAAGGCCCGUGACCGAAAAUCCGAUCAGCCCUAGGGUGUCCCUGAGUAGUGCCGCACACGUGAAACGUGGCAUGAAUCUGCGCCGACCACGGCGUAAGGCUAAAUACUAGUUGGCGACCGAUAGUGAACCAGUACUGUGAAGGAAAGGUGAAAAGUACCGCUGCGAGCGGAGUGAAAUAGAACCUGAAACCAUGUGCUUACAAGGUGUCAAAGCCCCUUUGGGGGUGAUGGCGUGCCUUUUGCUUAAUGAGUCUGCGAGUUAGUGUCUGUAGCGAGCUUAAGCCCUUCUGGGGUGCAGGCGUAGCGAAAGCGAGUCCGAAUAGGGCGUUCAGUUGCAGGCGCUAGACCCGAAGCGGAGGUGACCUACCUAUGGCCAGGUUGAAGCGUGAGUAAAAUCUCGUGGAGGACCGAACCGGUGAACGUUGAAAAGUUCUCGGAUGAGCUGUGGGUAGGAGUGAAAGGCUAUUCAAACCCCGUGAUAGCUGGUUCUCCUCGAAAUGCAUUUAGGUGCAGCGUCAUGUGCUGACUCGUGGGGGUAGAGCACUGAAUGAGCUAGGGGCCACACCCGGUUACCAAACUCAAUCAAACUCCGAAUACCACGAGGUGGAGCAUGGCAGUGAGUCGGCGGGGGAUAAGCUUCGUCGUCGAAAGGGAAACAACCCAGAUCAGCAGCUAAGGUGCCCAAAUGACGCUAAGUGGAAAGGAUGUGAGACUACUUAGACAGUGAGGAUGUUGGCUUAGAAGCAGCCACCAUUUAAAAAGUGCGUAAUAGCUUACUCAUCGAGUGGUCUUGCGCCGAAAAUGAUUGGCGAUAAGCGUCAUACCGAAGCUCUGGGCUUCGCGCAAGCGGAGCGGUAGAGGAGCGUUCUCAGAGCCUUGAAGCCGGAUGGCGACUGAAGGUGGAGUUCUGAGAAGUGAGAAUGCAGACAUAAGUAACGAUAAGACAGGUGAAAUUCCUGUCCGCCGUAAACCCAAGGUUUCCUGGGCAACGUUCGUCGUCCCAGGGUUAGCCGGGACCUAAGCCGAGGCCGAAGGGCGUAGGCGAUGGAUAGCAGGUUAAUAUUCCUGUGCCUCCUGAACCCAAAGCGAGAGGGACGGAGUGGUGGAGAGAUGACGCCGACUGAUUGUGGCGGAAGCGCGGCUACGGCCAAGCUCAUCUUCUCAAAACUGCUUCCAAGAAAAGCUCUCGUGUCGUGCUAAGGGAGCCCGUACCGUAAACCGACACAGGUGGGUGGGUAGAGUAUACCAAGGCGUAAGAGUGAACCCUGGUUAAGGAACUCGGCAAUAUAGCCCCGUAACUUCGGAAUAAGGGGUGCCUGCUUCGGCAGGCCGCAGUGAAAGGGAUCAACCGACUGUUUAGCAAAAACACAGCAUUGUGCCAAGACGAAAGUCCAAGUAUACGAUGUGACACGUGACCAAUGCGGAAAGAUUAAGGCAAGGGGUUAGCGCAAGCGAAGCUCUGAACCUAAGUCCCCGUGAAUGUCGGCCGUAACUAUAACGGUCCUAAGGUAGCGAAAUUCCUUGUCGGGUAAGUUCCGACCUGCACGAAUCGUGUAACGAGUUGAUCGCUGUCUCAACCAGAAGCUCAGUGAAAUUGUAUUGGCGGUGAAGAUGCCGCCUACCCGCAGAAGGACGGAAAGACCCUAUGAACCUUAACUGUAAGCUGUUACUGGUUUUUCGUUUUCAAUGCUCAGCGUAAGUGGGAGACUUUGAAGCGGCCCUUUAGGGGGUCGCAGAGUCGUCAAUGAGACACCACCCUUUGGUAAUGGGAAAUCUAACCUCGAGCCAUGAAUCUGGCCGAGGGACAAUGCCAGCCGGUCAGUUUUACUGGGGCGGUAUCCUCCCAAAAAGUAACGGAGGAGCGCGAAGGUGGGCUCAGCGUGGUUGGUAAUCACGUGUCGAGUGUAUAGGCAUAAGCCCGCCUAACUGUGAGACGGACAUGUCGAGCAGAUACGAAAGUAGGCCUAAGUGAUCCGGUAGUCGAAAGUGGAAUUGCUAUCGCUCAACGGAUAAAAGGUACUCUAGGGAUAACAGGCUGAUCGCGCCCAAGAGUUCAUAUCGACGGCGCGGUUUGGCACCUCGAUGUCGGCUCGUCGCAUCCUGGGGCUGGAGAAGGUCCCAAGGGUC
Molecule: ribosomal RNA, 2490 nt
Filed under: Verrucomicrobiales bacterium
Lineage: Bacteria; Pseudomonadati; Verrucomicrobiota; Verrucomicrobiia; Verrucomicrobiales
Description: partial 23S ribosomal RNA
Rfam family: Bacterial large subunit ribosomal RNA
Source: RNAcentral